This 63-nucleotide transfer RNA is filed under the name Mystilus priamus. RNAcentral describes it as "tRNA-Pro". The record is from RNAcentral. Lineage: Eukaryota; Metazoa; Arthropoda; Insecta; Hemiptera; Miridae.
CAGUAAAUAGUUUAAGAAAAAUUUUAAUUUUGGAGAUUAAUGAUGAGUGUAUCUUUUUACUGA